AGGUGGUCGCCCCCGAGACGCGCGGGCCUGGGGCGCGGGAGGGUUCCAGCUUAGCCUGGCGAAGGGGGAGGCGCUAGAAAUUCAGCGCUAGGAAACCCAGACACCAAAGCACCAAAUUUUAUGCUGUAGGCUGUUUUUUUCCCCCUUGAAGCACAGAAAUGUUCAGGCUGGAUCAGGAAUUGGGAAUGAAGACGGCUAGACAUCAGACCACGGGAAGAAGGGGAGACGUUGGGUGGCUGGCUAAGUAGGCUUUGUCUCCUCAGCCCCUGCUCUCCAAAAUGCGCCUUCCACUUUCAGAGCAUGUUCGGCUUUCCCGAUUUCAUCUGGAAAGUCUUCUGUCCCGGUCUUUCAAGGCCAAGGAAAACCUCAAAGCAGCACCUGAAAGGGCCCGCAUUUCGGGGGAGGGAACCGUUGUCAGGGUGCGGAGUUGGGGGGUCAACUGUAUACGAAUCCCUCAGAUAGGUUUGUGCUGCAAUGCGGCGGCUACCUGCUCCCCCACCCCACCCCCAGCAAGUUCCAAAGGAGCGCCUUCAGCUUCACAAGUUAAGCCUUUGUAGCAGCAGAUGGCUGUGGCCCACGCUGGUUUGGUUAACUUGGUACAGCUUGCUAGCAAGCUGAAAGUUGUAGAUUUGCUCUUUCGUUUGAUAGAAGUUAUUCAUGGAUGCAAAAUUGUCAGGAAUGCCCACACAGACUUCACCUACCUUUGUAAUUUACACUCUCGGCACAAACCCAAUCUGGAAUAUGACUAAUUAUAAACUAAAAGCCUUUACGUUACCAAAGAGCCUCUUCCUGUAGGCUAGGUUAGAUCAACUGAAUGCGCGCCAAGAUGUGUGUAUUUGGGAAUACUGGUAAAGGAUUUUACAGUAGAGUUUAGAAAACAGAUUCAUUCAAGAAAUCUUUAUUGAGUGCCAGGUAUGCUAUCAUUCUGCUUAGUCUGCUUAAAUGCUUAAGUGUUUUGAUAUUAAACAACAAAGAAGCUAUAUAAAAGAUUCAGUCAUUUAACACACUUGAGCACCUAUUCUGUGCCAGAUUGAACCCUGGAGAUGCAAAGUCUGAACAAGAAGGCACAGACCACAAAUGAUACCUUUGGGAUGAUAUGUCUACCAGCCUUUGAGUGUCCAAGGACUUUGUUUUGCACCAAUAAUAAUAACAACAACAACAGCAGCAGCAGCAGCAGCUAACACUUGCUGGGCAUCUUGAAACACGUGGAAAUUUGAAGAUGGAAACCAUUGCUAAGGAUGGCAGAGCAGAAAGAGAGGAGAUUGGGUUCUUUGUGACAGCAACGAGCUUCCAGACCAGCGCUGGAUGGAUGAUAUACCUCCAGACUUCUCCAUGUAAAAGAAAAACUUUUACCCAGUUUCAGGCACUAUUUCUGCUCAAACACAAUUUCUACCUGGUAAUAAAAAUAGUCCUGCCAAA
Molecule: long non-coding RNA, 1419 nt
Organism: Ailuropoda melanoleuca (giant panda)
Lineage: Eukaryota; Metazoa; Chordata; Mammalia; Carnivora; Ursidae
Exons: 3
Source: RefSeq, a predicted model, not a curated record